RNAcentral lists this ribosomal RNA (483 nucleotides) under uncultured bacterium. Its description in RNAcentral is "partial 16S ribosomal RNA". It matches the Rfam family "Bacterial small subunit ribosomal RNA", at positions 28 to 507 of the family's 1533-position model. The record is from RNAcentral.
GACGAACGCUGGCGGCGUGCUUAACACAUGCAAGUCGAACGCUGAAGCUCAGCUUUUGUUGGGUGGAUGAGUGGCGAACGGGUGAGUAACACGUGAGUAACCUGCCCCCUUCUUUGGGAUAACGCCCGGAAACGGGUGCUAAUACUGGAUAUUCACUGGUCUUCGCAUGGGGGUUGGUGGAAAGGGUUUUUCUGGUGGGGGAUGGGCUCGCGGCCUAUCAGCUUGUUGGUGGGGUGAUGGCCUACCAAGGCUUUGACGGGUAGCCGGCCUGAGAGGGUGACCGGUCACAGUGGGACUGAGAUACGGCCUAGACUCGUACGGGAGGCAGCAGUGGGGAAGAUGGCACAAUGGGCGAAAGCGUGAUGCAGCGACGCCGCGUGAGGGAUGGAGGCCUUCGGGUUGUGAACCUCUUUCGCUCAUGGUCAAGCCGCAACAAUGGUUGUGGUGAGGGUAGUGGGUAAAGAAGCGCCGGCUAACUACGUG